UUCUGUGGGCGCUGAGGGGCAACCAUCCGCGCAAUCCGACGCCGGACGAACUCUACAGCACGGAUCACCACAACGUCGCAGAUGGGCUCGCGACGUUGCCGAAAGACUAUGCCGGCGUCCCUCACGACGUUCCCCGGCUUGGGCCGCCAUUGCCGGGAGAUCUGGGGCGACCGAUCGUUACGGCCGAAAGUCAAUCAGCUCCGG
Molecule: unclassified non-coding RNA, 204 nt
Filed under: Hevea brasiliensis (rubber tree)
Lineage: Eukaryota; Viridiplantae; Streptophyta; Magnoliopsida; Malpighiales; Euphorbiaceae
Source: RNAcentral